RNAcentral lists this ribosomal RNA (1491 nucleotides) under Methanohalophilus halophilus. RNAcentral's name for it is "bacterial LSU rRNA". It matches the Rfam family "Archaeal large subunit ribosomal RNA", at positions 9 to 1516 of the family's 2987-position model. The record is from RNAcentral. Lineage: Archaea; Methanobacteriati; Methanobacteriota; Methanomicrobia; Methanosarcinales; Methanosarcinaceae.
GCAUUUAUGCCAGCAGGUGAAUGGCUCGGCUCAAGGACCGAUGAAGGACGUGUCAAGCUGCGAUAUGCCUCGGCUAGGCGCAUGAAGCCUAUGAACCGAGGAUUUCCUAAUGAGACCUCUUGACCUUAAUGGUCGAUCAGUAAUGAUCGGGAACGUUCCGAAUUGAAACAUCUUAGUAGGAACCGGAAAAGAAAUCGAAGAGAUGCCGCUAGUAACGGCGAGUGAACACGGCAAAGUUCAAACCGAAUCCCUCUGGGAACAGAAGGGAAAUGUGGUGUGGAAGGACUUUUCCAAGGAUCCCAUCUCACAGAGACCGAAUUUGACUGGAACGUCAAACCACAGAGUGUGAUAGUCACGUAGGUUAAUAUGAACGGAUCUGGAAUUGUUCCAGAGUACCGUGCGUUGGAUAUCGCGCGGGAACCCGGGAGGCAUCAACUUCCAAAACUAAAUAUCUCUUGAGACCGAUAGUGAACUAGUAGGGUGACCGAAAACUGAAAAGUACCCCAAAAAGGGAGGUUCAAAGUGCCUGAAACCUGUUGGUUAUGGAACGAUAUGGCAUGAAAGGAUCUGCGAAAUGAAGGAAACAGUCGCGAGGCUGCUGUACGAGUUUCGUUGCCGAUGUCAUAUCUUACGUUUUGAAGAACGGGCCAGGGAGUGUAUUUCAAUGGCGAAGGCUAACCGAAAGGGGAGCCGAAGCGAAAGCAACAAGCAUGCAGUCUUCGGACAAGAUGCGGCGUAUACAAGUGCGUGGAGUCAUUGGAAUACGACCCGAAGCCGGGUGAUCUAGGCGUGGGCAGGUUGAAGCGUGGCGAAAGCUACGUGGAGGACCGCAAGCGGUACUGACCUGCAAAUCGUUCGUGUGACCUGCGUCUUGGAGUGAAAGGCUAAUCAAACCCGGCAUCAGCUGGUUCCUUCCAAAACAUGUCGUAGCAUGACCUAACUGGAGAUAGUCGGUGGUGUAGAGCACUGAUUGGGGAUCCCGGGGGAGAAAUCCCUCGCUCCCCUGUCAAACUCCAAAACUACCGUCGUCUGAGAAAGUUGGAGUCCGGGCUACUGGGGUAAGCUUGUAGUCCGUAAGGGAGAGAACCCAGCCCGUGGUUAAGGUCCCUAAGUGUCGACUAAGUGUUAAAGAUAAAGGGUGUCCCAGGCCCUAAACAGCUGGAAGGUUAGCUUAGAAGCAGCUACCCUUUAAAGAGUGCGUAACAGCCCACCAGUCGAGGUCUGGGGCCCCGAAAAUGGACGGGGCUCAAGGCGACCACCGAGACCACGGAGUACCGAAAGGUAAUCUUGUAGGAAGGCGUUGCGUUCGGGCAGAAGCAGGGUUGUGAAGUCCUGUGGACCGUACGGAAACGAAAAUCCUGGUAAUAGUAGCAGCAUAGUCAGGUGAGAAUCCUGACCGCCGAAGGGGCCAGGUUUCCUCGGCAAUGAUCGUCAGCCGAGGGUUAGUCGGUCCUAAGACGUACCGUAAUUCGAGUACGCCAAAAGGGAAAC